Long non-coding RNA from Cyprinus carpio (common carp), 1037 nucleotides. RefSeq lists it as uncharacterized. The transcript is spliced from 2 exons. NCBI's taxonomy places the organism in Eukaryota, Metazoa, Chordata, Actinopteri, Cypriniformes, Cyprinidae. The record is from RefSeq and is a predicted model, not a curated record.
CAACUGCACGAUGGGAGAUUUUUCCCUUUACAUUCAUCACACAACACGGUUUAAAGAGUUAAUGGAUCACCGACUGAUGACUGUCCUAUUAGAGAUCAGGUUUCAAACCCUUGAACGCUGAAGGAUGGUUCAAAGAGAGGGAGGAUCAGCAGUUUUGUGCCUCUAGCAAGCUGGAUUUAGUUUCUGAUGGUCGUUUGGUUGAGAAGGAAUAACGUACCAGAAUCCUCACCAACACCUGAUGUGCUUUUUGUUCGGCCGCUUGACGGCUGCCUACCUCAUCACAUCGGAUCGCUCUGCCCUCCCCACGCUCAUGUCACAUUACAGAUUUACAGAAUUGUCUUUCAAAACAUCAUCUUACACGCAGAUGCUUUUCCGCCCAUGUGUACAGGAGUCUUAAGCUUUGUAAAUGGUGCUUCUUUCUAAUGUUGCGUCAUGAAUAUUUCAGCAGGCCGUUUCUACAGGCCAGAGCUCAUGCACCAUGUUUAUGGAACAUAGAAACGUGUUGAAUUUUCAUGAAGCCUGCUGUUUUACGACGCUUUAAAAGUGAAGUCGAGUGUUUUUGUUUACGUGUUGGAUGAGAUUACAGUGGUACUCAGUGCCUAAACAUGUGACUUUGGACCUGUGCUUUGUAAAAGCUGUUUUUCUGAUCGCUGUUACUGCUUCUGCUGUACCUUUGCCUUUCCCCGAGUACACUUGAUUUUCAUGCUUGACUCUUCUGUCCACUUUACUAAAGAGUAACAAUAUAGCACUUUAACUGUGGCUAUCUGUUGAAUGUGUAGGCAUUAAAUCCAGUCAUAGAGUCAUGCAAGAUUUCAAAUAAAGCUUUUGUAAAAAAAAAAAAAAGACGUUCUGUAGUUCCCAAUUUUAUUGAAAUAGUCUGAUAAUGAGCUUUCCAUGUGAAAAGUGGUGUCCAAACCAAUACAAAUAACAGUAUUCCACCUUAAAUACACUUGUGCAAAAAAGAAAUAAGAAAAGGUCUACAUUGCAGUAUGGAGUAAUUCAUGUUCACAUCCCAACCAUUCAAUAAAAUACAAUAA